This 390-nucleotide transfer-messenger RNA is filed under the name Candidatus Saccharibacteria bacterium RIFCSPHIGHO2_12_FULL_47_16b. It matches the Rfam family "transfer-messenger RNA". Rfam says of the family: Bacterial tmRNA, also known as 10Sa RNA or SsrA, is named for its dual tRNA and mRNA-like properties. The record is from RNAcentral. Lineage: Bacteria; Candidatus Saccharimonadota. RNAcentral also lists the same sequence under 1 other name.
GGGGCUGAAUUUAGCUCGACGUUGAACUUUAUCAACUAGUUUGCAGGUCGCUUGUCAGCGUUAUUGGCAAAACAAUUUUAGAUGGCGAAAAACUAUCUAUUCGCGAAUUUGUUGCCAACUUGUUUGGUCGACAGUUCGCACCAGUUCUCGCUUAACUUAAGUUCGAGAACCGCGCCUGAACGCCACACCAGAUAAUGUUCAAAAGCGUGUCAUAUCAUCUGGUUGCUGAAACUUUACUUUCCAUAAAGUUUCCUAAGACUUAGGAAUAGGAAAAUCGGUUUUUUUGGCCGUUACCUAGCCGACCUUCCGAAAAUUUUAAACGGUCUAAACCUGUAGACGGCUAGCUCGAUAAACCGACGGACGUGGGUGUAAUACCCACCAGCUCCACCA